This 507-nucleotide long non-coding RNA is filed under the name Spirodela polyrhiza (greater duckweed). RNAcentral describes it as "long non-coding RNA (SPOL_LNC001707)". Lineage: Eukaryota; Viridiplantae; Streptophyta; Magnoliopsida; Alismatales; Araceae. The record is from RNAcentral.
GCAUUGUGCAGGUCUCCUACGCCAUCGGCGUGCCAGAGCCCCUCUCGGUGUUCGUCGACUCCUACGGCACCGGCAAGAUCCCCGACAAGGAGAUCCUGCAGAUCGUCAAGGAGAACUUCGAUUUCCGGCCAGGUAUGAUCACCAUCAACCUCGACCUGAAGAGGGGAGGCAACCGCUACCUCAAGACCGCCGCCUACGGCCACUUCGGCCGCGACGACCCCGACUUCACCUGGGAGGUCGUCAAGCCCCUCAAGUGGGAGAAGCCCGCGGCGUAAUCGCCCUCGCCGCCCUUCUCUCUUCCAUAUCCGCACGCCCACAAGCGCGCUGCUCACCGGCGCGCCGUCGCCGCCCUGUUGUCACCUUUUCCAGUCCUGUGCUCUGCGUCUGUCCUGCCUCGAACUCUCUUUUUCCCUUUUUGGGUUUCCUUCCUCCAUCCAUUUCCCUCUACGACGGAAAACAGAGAGAAUUUGGUUUUUUGUCCCCGCCUGGAUUAAAAAUAUUCGUCUU